GGGUUGUGAGGUUAAGCGACUAAGCGUACACGGUGGAUGCCCUGGCAGUCAGAGGCGAUGAAGGACGUGCUAAUCUGCGAUAAGCGUCGGUAAGGUGAUAUGAACCGUUAUAACCGGCGAUUUCCGAAUGGGGAAACCCAGUGUGUUUCGACACACUAUCAUUAACUGAAUCCAUAGGUUAAUGAGGCGAACCGGGGGAACUGAAACAUCUAAGUACCCCGAGGAAAAGAAAUCAACCGAGAUUCCCCCAGUAGCGGCGAGCGAACGGGGAGCAGCCCAGAGCCUGAAUCAGUGUGUGUGUUAGUGGAAGCGUCUGGAAAGGCGCGCGAUACAGGGUGACAGCCCCGUACACAAAAAUGCACAUACUGUGAGCUCGAUGAGUAGGGCGGGACACGUGGUAUCCUGUCUGAAUAUGGGGGGACCAUCCUCCAAGGCUAAAUACUCCUGACUGACCGAUAGUGAACCAGUACCGUGAGGGAAAGGCGAAAAGAACCCCGGCGAGGGGAGUGAAAAAGAACCUGAAACCGUGUACGUACAAGCAGUGGGAGCACGCUUCGGCGUGUGACUGCGUACCUUUUGUAUAAUGGGUCAGCGACUUAUAUUCUGUAGCAAGGUUAACCGAAUAGGGGAGCCGAAGGGAAACCGAGUCUUAACUGGGCGUUAAGUUGCAGGGUAUAGACCCGAAACCCGGUGAUCUAGCCAUGGGCAGGUUGAAGGUUGGGUAACACUAACUGGAGGACCGAACCGACUAAUGUUGAAAAAUUAGCGGAUGACUUGUGGCUGGGGGUGAAAGGCCAAUCAAACCGGGAGAUAGCUGGUUCUCCCCGAAAGCUAUUUAGGUAGCGCCUCGUGAAUUCAUCUCCGGGGGUAGAGCACUGUUUCGGCAAGGGGGUCAUCCCGACUUACCAACCCGAUGCAAACUGCGAAUACCGGAGAAUGUUAUCACGGGAGACACACGGCGGGUGCUAACGUCCGUCGUGAAGAGGGAAACAACCCAGACCGCCAGCUAAGGUCCCAAAGUCAUGGUUAAGUGGGAAACGAUGUGGGAAGGCCCAGACAGCCAGGAUGUUGGCUUAGAAGCAGCCAUCAUUUAAAGAAAGCGUAAUAGCUCACUGGUCGAGUCGGCCUGCGCGGAAGAUGUAACGGGGCUAAACCAUGCACCGAAGCUGCGGCAGCGACACUAUGUGUUGUUGGGUAGGGGAGCGUUCUGUAAGCCUGUGAAGGUGUGCUGUGAGGCAUGCUGGAGGUAUCAGAAGUGCGAAUGCUGACAUAAGUAACGAUAAAGCGGGUGAAAAGCCCGCUCGCCGGAAGACCAAGGGUUCCUGUCCAACGUUAAUCGGGGCAGGGUGAGUCGACCCCUAAGGCGAGGCCGAAAGGCGUAGUCGAUGGGAAACAGGUUAAUAUUCCUGUACUUGGUGUUACUGCGAAGGGGGGACGGAGAAGGCUAUGUUGGCCGGGCGACGGUUGUCCCGGUUUAAGCGUGUAGGCUGGUUUUCCAGGCAAAUCCGGAAAAUCAAGGCUGAGGCGUGAUGACGAGGCACUACGGUGCUGAAGCAACAAAUGCCCUGCUUCCAGGAAAAGCCUCUAAGCAUCAGGUAACAUCAAAUCGUACCCCAAACCGACACAGGUGGUCAGGUAGAGAAUACCAAGGCGCUUGAGAGAACUCGGGUGAAGGAACUAGGCAAAAUGGUGCCGUAACUUCGGGAGAAGGCACGCUGAUAUGUAGGUGAAGUCCCUCGCGGAUGGAGCUGAAAUCAGUCGAAGAUACCAGCUGGCUGCAACUGUUUAUUAAAAACACAGCACUGUGCAAACACGAAAGUGGACGUAUACGGUGUGACGCCUGCCCGGUGCCGGAAGGUUAAUUGAUGGGGUUAGCGGUAACGCGAAGCUCUUGAUCGAAGCCCCGGUAAACGGCGGCCGUAACUAUAACGGUCCUAAGGUAGCGAAAUUCCUUGUCGGGUAAGUUCCGACCUGCACGAAUGGCGUAAUGAUGGCCAGGCUGUCUCCACCCGAGACUCAGUGAAAUUGAACUCGCUGUGAAGAUGCAGUGUACCCGCGGCAAGACGGAAAGACCCCGUGAACCUUUACUAUAGCUUGACACUGAACAUUGAGCCUUGAUGUGUAGGAUAGGUGGGAGGCUUUGAAGUGUGGACGCCAGUCUGCAUGGAGCCGACCUUGAAAUACCACCCUUUAAUGUUU
RNAcentral lists this ribosomal RNA (2199 nucleotides) under Escherichia coli. RNAcentral's name for it is "partial 23S ribosomal RNA". It matches the Rfam family "Bacterial large subunit ribosomal RNA", at positions 1 to 2215 of the family's 2925-position model. Lineage: Bacteria; Pseudomonadati; Pseudomonadota; Gammaproteobacteria; Enterobacterales; Enterobacteriaceae. The record is from RNAcentral.